Molecule: unclassified non-coding RNA, 1368 nt
Filed under: Dimorphilus gyrociliatus
Lineage: Eukaryota; Metazoa; Annelida; Polychaeta; Dinophilidae
Description: gATA-type domain-containing protein
Source: RNAcentral
UGUCUAAUGAAUAUUAAUUACUUGGGGUAUAUUAAAGCUAGAGCCGGAUUGAGAUCUGCAGUAAUCGAUUGACCACUUCAUUAAGGUUUUGAGAUUGGAAAAAAGUCUUAUUUGCUCCUUCAGCGACGAUCAGUGUAUUAACCGGACUACUUUUCAGGUAUAAUCUCGGCCAUUUGCUGAUAGAUUUAGCAUACCCCUAAUAAUCUGUUCUAAAACGAAUAGAAUCUGCCUUAAAGUAGUCGUAAGAACCUUUUGUUAACGAAUAUUUUCAGAUUAGAUCAUAAACUUUAUAACAUAAUUAAGAAAGUUAUUGAUUUUACAGAAUAUUCUUGAGUUAACGUAAAAAAAAACUUUUUUUUUUUAUUUCAUACGGAUUGGGUGCAAAGAGCCCAAAAGAAUUUUUUAGCACUUUUCUCUUGUUUCAGUCAUUACGUUUAGAUUUAUAUUUGCGAAAAUGAAAGAAACAAAUCACUUGGCAUCUCAAGUUCUUAAAGAUUUAGGAUCGGACACGGAAAGAUUGGAAACGUUAAGUUCUAUAGCGGUUGGCAAUGAAACACAGCAAGGCGUCGAAGCUGCUUCUACAGCCAUAAUUACUCCAGACAAUGCAGAUUCUACGUCAAAGCAGAAGGAAAGUGGUAUGUUGGUGAGAUUAUUUAACGAAAUAAACAGUUUGACAGAAAAUUCAGAAAAAGAAAAUGGCGAAUCUGUCGAUGAGAACGGUAAUGUUCAAAAAUUAACCGAUGAAGCAGGUAAGGAGGAAAGCGCUUCGGAACUGCCGGAAGAAUCAUCUAGUACUACCAGUAAUACUACUACUACUACUAAUACUAAUACUACGAAUACUACUCGUGUACGACGACGAAAGCAAGAGCACCCGUUUAAGAGUCCAGAGAAAAAUGAUCCAAAUUUUCGAGGUGUUCAUUUCUACAUGCAGAACCAUCUAACAAAGGACAGAACUGGAAUUGAAUUUUGCAUAGGGGGACGAUUCGAUUGCAGGCGACCUGGAAAAAGACGUCAAAGUGAGGUUAUAGGGGCGAAGUGUUUAAUAGUAGGAUCGUACGAGUAUCUAGAGAGAAAGCGGAAAUCAAGGCGUUUGAAUCGAAAAUCAUUUGUGAAGGAAUGCGCAUCUUGUCGGUCGAGGAAAACGCCUUUAUGGAGAGAUGUCGAGUCGGUACCAUUAUGCAACGCUUGCGGUAUUAGAUUCAAGAAAUACAAGUUACGAUGCGAAAACUGCUGGUCCGUUCCACGCAAGGAGAAAUCUAGAUUUCCGUGCGAGCAAUGUGGCGGAUCUAUUCAAGAUUACAACUAAAUAUCUAUGCAUUUUUGUCAAGGGAAUCGAAAUUGUGCCAUCCUCCUGGUGCCGGCUUCGAC